CCUACGGGAGACAGCAGUAGGGAAUAUUGCUCAAUGGGGGAAACCCUGAAGCAGCAACGCCGCGUGGAGGAUGAAGGUUCUCGGAUUGUAAACUCCUUUUGUUAGAGAAGAUAAUUACGGUAUCUAACGAAUAAGCACCGGCUAACUCCGUGCCAGCAGCCGCGGUAAUACGGAGGGUGCAAGCGUUACUCGGAAUCACUGGGCGUAAAGGGCGCGUAGGCGGGAUAGCAAGUCAGAUGUGAAAUCCUAUGGCUUAACCAUAGAACUGCAUUUGAAACUGUUAUUCUAGAGUAUGGGAGAGGGAGGGGGAAAUCUGGGUGGUGGGGGAGAAUCCGUAGAGAUCAAGAGGGAUACUCAUUGCGAAGGCGACCUGCUAGAACAUAACUGACGCUGAUGCGCGAAAGCGUGGGGAGCAAACAGGAUUAGAUACCCCAGUAGUC
Molecule: ribosomal RNA, 440 nt
Filed under: uncultured bacterium
Lineage: Bacteria
Description: partial 16S ribosomal RNA
Rfam family: Bacterial small subunit ribosomal RNA
Source: RNAcentral